Molecule: ribosomal RNA, 484 nt
Filed under: uncultured bacterium
Lineage: Bacteria
Description: partial 16S ribosomal RNA
Rfam family: Bacterial small subunit ribosomal RNA
Source: RNAcentral
AUUGAACGCUGGCGGCAUGCUUUACACAUGCCAGUCGAACGGCAGCGCGGGCUUCGGCCUGGCGGCGAGUGGCGAACGGGUGAGUAAUGCAUCGGAACGUGCCCAGUAGUGGGGGAUAGCAAGGCGAAAGCCGGAUUAAUACCGCAUACGACCUGCGGGUGAAAGCGGGGGGCCGAAAGGCCUUGCGCGAUUGGGGGGGCCGAUGUCGGAUUAGCUAGUUGGUGGGGUAAAGGCUUACCAAGGGGAGGAUCCGUGGCUGGUCUGAGAGGGAGACCGGCCACACUGGGACUGAGACACGGCCCAGACUCCUACGGGAGGCAGCAGUGGGGAAUUGUGGACAAUGGGGGCAACCCUGAUCCAGCCAUGCCGCGUGCGGGAAGAAGGCCUUCGGGUUGUAAACCGCUUUUGUUCGGGAAGAAAUCCUCUGGGCUAAUACCCCGGGGGGAUGACGGUACCGGAAGAAUAAGCACCGGCUAACUACGUG